GACGAACGCUGGCGGCGUGCCUAAUACAUGCAAGUCGAACGAGAGCGACCGGUGCUUGCACUGGUCAAUCUAGUGGCGAACGGGUGAGUAACACGUGGGUAACCUGCCCAUCAGAGGGGGAUAACAUUCGGAAACGGAUGCUAAAACCGCAUAGGUCUUCGAACCGCAUGGUUUGAAGAGGAAAAGAGGCGCAAGCUUCUGCUGAUGGAUGGACCCGCGGUGCAUUAGCUAGUUGGUGAGGUAACGGCUCACCAAGGCCGUGAUGCAUAGCCGACCUGAGAGGGUGAUCGGCCACAUUGGGACUGAGACACGGCCCAAACUCCUACGGGAGGCAGCAGUAGGGAAUCUGUCCGCAAUGGACGCAAGUCUGACGGAGCAACGCCGCGUGAGUGAAGAAGGUUUUCGGAUCGUAAAACUCUGUUGUUAGAGAAGAACAAGUGCUAGAGUAACUGUUAGCGCC
Molecule: ribosomal RNA, 460 nt
Filed under: Granulicatella adiacens
Lineage: Bacteria; Bacillati; Bacillota; Bacilli; Lactobacillales; Carnobacteriaceae
Description: bacterial SSU rRNA
Rfam family: Bacterial small subunit ribosomal RNA
Source: RNAcentral